GAUAAUGGUAUCGGUACAGCCUCGUGCGCCGUGUUUCGAGGAGCUGUCAGAAUCGUCCAGGGGCAAAUGGCGGCGGUCGCCAGGCAGGGUGAGGUAGCGAUUUUUAGUCCGGGGCGUGCCUACAAACUAACGUGUACGUCCGGCGUGGAGGCCACUUUCUACUUGACCCUUCCCUCCGGCUGCCAGCUACCGGCGUUAUUGGACCUCCAACCUGGCGAGCCGCAAUAUUCGCGUCCUAUUAUGGGAAUCGGGCCUUUCCGACUGGUGGAGAUGCGCGCCGCGAGGCGGGCGAUCGUCCGUGAGGCCGUCCGUGAGUACAGGCCCUAAACGAUGAUAGUCAGGGGUGUAGUGUGGGGACCUAUCCAGGCGG
Molecule: unclassified non-coding RNA, 370 nt
Filed under: uncultured bacterium
Lineage: Bacteria
Description: contains 16S-23S intergenic spacer region
Source: RNAcentral